Molecule: long non-coding RNA, 22571 nt
Filed under: Setaria viridis
Lineage: Eukaryota; Viridiplantae; Streptophyta; Magnoliopsida; Poales; Poaceae
Description: long non-coding RNA (SVIR_LNC009528)
Source: RNAcentral
UUUUUUUUUUUCGUUUUCGUUUCUUCCCCCCUUGCCAUUUUGACUUCGGCGAGGGGAUGGACUCUGUCCUGGAGGGACACGUCACACGGGGGACCGUCCUCUGCGUCGGAAAGCGCAGCCGUCCAUCUCGGACGAACGGUGCAGAUUUGCUAUGGCACGGAAGCCUAGGCGUCAGCAACAGUAGUGGCAGAGAAAUCAGAAGAUGAUCAUCGAUUCAUCGGAGUCAGGUUGGGUUUGGAUUUGCCAGCAAUUCCAGCGGUUGCAUUUUGUGCAAGCCAACUAUCUAGCGAAUUGCAUAUCUUGCAAUGACCCAACUAUCGGAAGGGGGUGAGAAAAAUCGGUCCCUGUAGACGUACCUACGGAAGAACCAUAUCAAAUCGGCCACGAACUUGGACAGAUGAUCCAUGAGAGGAACCCGGUCGGCGUGCUUCCUGUAAAAAGAAUGAGGAGACCUAUACAACUCUACACGUGUCCCUUCAUUACCGUCGAGUGCUUCUUGGCAUUCCGAUCUCAUAGUAGUGUGGUAAUGAUUGGUGAAUAAAUGGCCGAAUUGAUAAUUGAUCAGCAGUUACUAUAUUCUGGGCCUUAUAUUCUCAACCAAAAGUACCAAACCAAACGUAUAAAGCUCCAUUCUUAGUUGGGCCAAAACCCGGACAGCCCAGUUUUCAGAGCCCAAAUCCUAUACAGACCUAACCACCUCGGCCUGGGUGCGGCCGCGUUCCUGGCCCAAACCAACCUCACAGACAGAUUCCAGCGUUUCAGAGUCCUGGUUUCGCGGCCGGACGCCGCCGGGGCGCAUGGCGCGGCGGCCGGCGGCCUCUAGCGUCGCCGGCUCGCAGCCGCUGGCCGUUCCCCAGCGCGCAGGCGGCAGGGGCCUCGUGCCGGCCGGCCGGCCGGCCGGCCGGCUCGUGAGCCCACCACGCCACGCGUACGGCGCCAGAACCGUGCCGCCGCGCCGCACCACCCCUCACCAUCGGUCCAUGUCCAUCACGCUAUCUGACGUCGUGCGCGUGGGCUCCGCACGGUGCCGCUGCCACGCCGCCCCGGCCAAACGGUGCCCCUGCAGCCGACACACCCUGCAUCCUACCGAUCGCAAGCUGAUUGAAGAAGACACCGUCACCGAAUUACGGAAGGAUAAGGCCGAGAGGAGUAACAUUUUUCCUGACGUCUUUUCGUGGCCGUGGCCAUCUGGCUGGAAUCUUGUUUCAAAGAUGGCGUUCUAAGGUUGAAGAGACCGUAUGCGAUGCAAGUUGGUGUCAUGGGACGAGGCAAUUCUGCGGUUAUGUUCCCGGGUGGGACACGUGACGGAGAAGGUGAGUUGCAGCGGUGGUUAAAGCUAAUGUUCUGAGAUUAAUAUGCCAUCAGCCUAACCCAAAUCAAGGAGCCGGAUGGACCAUGGAACUGCUGGUAGUGGACAAAAAGUUAAAUUUGUUUGUCGCGUCACUGUUCUUGCUACGAAAAUUCGAAAAAAAAACAUAUAUAAUCACAAAUUCAAACAUAUAUAGAAAAUGACAAUGAGUGAAAAUACAAAGAAAAAAGAAAAAACGUUACUGGUGUCUUCUUCGUCAAUGCUUACAGGGAGAUUAUUUUGUCAAAAAAUUCAAGCGAGCAUCAAAGUACAAAAUCAUCUUACAUUCAAAAUUUACAAGCAUGUGAAAAUCACAGAAACAAUCUCUUGCACAAGUACAGGACAUUAGCAAGCAUGAACAUGAAAGUUGAAAGUGUAAUUUUCAUAUUAUCCUACCAAAAUAUCAAAAGGGAAAUUUCAGAUCUCAUUUGAACCGAAUAACAUCAAAGAAACUGUAAUUUUCCUCCUCAUGCUUGCGCAUGCCUCACUGAUGGACGUGGCGGCGCUUCCUCCAUCUUCCUCCCGGCUCCCACCUUCGUCAACAGAUCCGGUGGGAGCACCUUUAAAUCUAGAGAGAGAGAGAGAGAGAGAGAGAGAGAGAGGGCACCAUACCGCCGGAUGUAGGCUUCUCCUUGCCAGAUCCGGGCUUCUCCUCGCGAGGAACGACCAAGACGGUGAGGGACCAUGCUCCUACCUCCAUGGCGGCGUCGGGGAAGAAGGAGAACCUCGCCUUAACGGAUCCAGGCCGGGAACCCUACCUCGCAUCGCUAUCGCCGGGAUUUACCCAUGCGCCGCCACCGUGCCGUCACCACGGAUCCGGCCGCGCGGAAGGUGGGGAGGGCCACGGGCUGCCUCCUCGACGGAAGACAAGAGAGGGCCUCCACCUCGGGCAACCAUGGCGAGCUCGCCGGAGGGGAAAGAGUAAAAGGAAGAAAAGAAAUGACGAGACGAGGGAGAAGAAGCGGCGGAAGAAUAACACAAGAGUAAGUUUAAAAAAAAGAACACCACAAGAGAGAUUAACGGAAGUAAAUGACGCCGGUUCUAAUCACUCGAAACCUAAUCGCUUCUCUCCUUUAUUUAGUGUAGCCUUUAAUCUGAUGGCAUCUGAGAUGCCCGCCGCGGUACACAACCACCGGAAGGGAUUUUCGGGUGUCAUGGAGCAUUAGAGCAAGAAGCACGGAAUACAUAACGACUGACACGUGUAUAAGCUCUUUCCUUUAAUUACUUGGAGUGUCAAUUUUUUAUAGGGGAUGUUGACUUUAAUUAGAUCAGGUUAAUGAUCCGUCUCAUUGAUCAACCUUUAAUUUCUUUAAUCAUUGUCCUUGCUUGAUGAUGAUAAUUGAUAAGCUGUGAACGUAUUUUUUUUCUUAAACACAGUCCUCCCUCCGUCCCACAAAGAGUGUCCCUUUAAGUUUGUCCUGAAUCAAACUGUUUUAUAUUUGACCAAGUUUAUAAUGAAAACUAUCAAUAUUUAUAAUAUGCUAUGAAAAUAUAUUUCAUAACGAAUCUAAUGAAACUUGCUAGACAUCAAAAGUAUUUAUGUAUUUUCAAUAUAGAUCAUGAUAUCCACUAUCACCCUGCAAUGUCUCAAAUUAAAAUUCAACUUGCAUAUGAAGAAAUAAAAAUGACAAAUUGCUUUAUGAGGUAAGUUGAACCAAAUAGCAUAGUUUAUAGGGUAAAUUGAACCAAAACAUAGUUUAGGGGGUUAUCUGGACUUUCGCUACACUUGAAAGGAGUAAUUUGGAACUUUUCCUAAUAGAAUAUGAGUAGUAAAACCAAAAAUACUAGGGGGGGUAAGACAGCCCCCGGGCAUUUUGCUAAGAAGAAGACCUUCUCACGCAGGUUGAGAAAACCUCCAAACUCCUGCUCCACCCUUACAUAGCAGCACCAUAACCCGUGUAAGAUGACCAAUGACCUGGUCGGGGCCUUAGACCUAUGCUUUGGCGUGGGACAUGCGAGGGGAUUUUUUAACAACAACAACAACAUAGCCUUUCAGUUCCAAGCAAGUAAGCAAGUUGGAUUAGGCUAGAGUUGAAACCCAACAAGAGCCACAAAUCAGAGUUCGGGAACAUGGAUAGCUAUUUUCCAAGCACUCCUAUCCAGAGCUAAAUCUUUGGGUAUAUUCCAUCCUUCAAAUCUCCUUUUAUUGCCUCUUCACAUGUCAAUUUUGAUCUUCCUCUGCCAACAUUCUGCACCAUACAGCAUUGCAGGAUUUUUUUAACCCCAACCUGAAAUUCGCACCCACGGGGAGUUGAACCCAGCACCUAAGGAGUGCUAUUAGAGCCACCUAACCAACUCAACUAGAGGCCCGUUCGCUAAUAUAUACUAAGGGCUAUGCUAAGGUACACCUUUUACUUUCUAUAAGGGCUAUGCUAAUAUACAACUUUUACUUUCCAGUAGGAGGUAAGAGAUGAAACAAAUCUGAAUCCUUAUUUUUUCAAAAUAAAUAAUAAUUAGAUCCAACACUAGAAACACUAUCCAGAAAAAGAGGUUACUUAUUAAGGUUUAUGGAUUUCCUUUAACAAUAACCUCUAUCGUUAGGGCUCUUGAAUUUUCAUAGUUUAGAUAAAAAAACUUGUUUUUUUAAAAGUAAUCCUUGUAAGCACAAACCAUGUGCUAGAUGCAGGUGAUGGCAGAGUAGCACAGCAUGUAUGUACAUAUUUGCAUAUGAAGAAAAGGAAUCGGUGGCGUUUUUUUAUCAAUUAUUAAUAACUUGAAGUUGCUGUUAUUAGGUUUGGUAUGCUAAGGUACGUAGCUCAGAGUAGUUAAAUGUUUUUAUAUAUUUGGGUUAAGUUUAUUAGCUACUACUUUGGGGAAGCUUUUGUUUCUCCCUAUUUGGCUGGAUCUAUCAUUGAGAGCUGGUGGAUUAGACUGCUAUUAGACUUCUAAAUUAGACAGAGAAGUGCUUAGUGGAUUCUCGCGGUGACUGCAGACAAGGGCUUGUUGCAUUCAUUUGGGUUAACUUUGACAUGAAGCAUAAACAAACUCCAACCAUGAGCUAACCAGAUAGCUACAAAGAGACGUUGUUUUUAUUUUAUUUUCUUUUCGGUCUCGUGCCGCUACAGCACUUACUUAAUCAUUCGUUUCAGGAUUUAGGGGGUGUUUGGAUACUAGGUGCUAAACUUUAGCAGUAUCACAUCGGAUGUUCGGAUGCUAAUUAGGAGGACUAAACAUGAGCUAAUUAUAAAACUAAUUGCAGAACCCUGUGCUAAUUCGCGAGACGAAUCUAUUAAUCCUAAUUAAUCCAUCAUUAUAAAAUGGUUACUGUAGCACUACAUUGUCAAAUCAUGAACUAAUUAGGCGUAAUAGAUUUGUCUUGCGAAUUAGACUCCAUUUGUGCAAUUAGUUUUGUAAUUAGCCUAUGUUUAAUACUCCUAAUUAGUAUCAAAUAUCCGAUGUGACAGGUGUUAAACUUUAGCGGGUGGUAUCCAAACAUCCCUUUAGAUUUUUCUUUUAUUUGUACUCACUCGCCGUCUCGCCCAUUCAUCUCCUUUUUUUUCCCUUUUGCUAUCAUUUUCAUAUCUCAGUGAGGGGAAAACUGGUAAAAAAAAGAUAAGGAAAACGUAAUAACACUUUUAAAAUUAAAAUCAGCCAUACCCCCAAAAUUCACUUAGUUUACUUCAGUGUCUAAAUUUGGCCAUUUGUGACUGUGAAAGACAAGCUCUGUAUAUAACUGCAGGUACUUUCAUAUUGUGCAAAAAUGUUUCGCGCUAUUAUAUGACACCCCUUGCUACUUUAUACAGCAAGAAAGCACUUCAAAUCCUCCCCCAUUUUAGGCAACUAAUUAAUUUGAACUCUAUGGCACUGAGAAAAUGUUUGAGAGACUGCCACAAAUAUUCACUGUAGCAUGGUGCGUUCUGUAUAUACUACACUGGGUUUCUGUCCCUCCGUCUAUCAUUGUACUCUAUUACGGUGUUAAAUUUAUAUAUUUUUGCCUCCCAAAAUGUCAAUACUGGAAGUAGUAGUCCAUGCUGGCAUAUCAAAUUUAUUAAUGGCCAUUUGAACAAUAAUAACACUCAUCAUAUGCCAGGUCGUGAAAUGUUCUGGAUGUAAUGAAGCACGGGAAUUUCAUAAAUGGUAAUUUGAUAAAAAAAAAGAAGAAGAAAGAACCGUGUGCAGGGGGUUACAGCACGCACACAGUUCAUGCACUGUAGAAGAAAUGAGAAUCUUAGAUACAUUCUCUCCCUAUUUUUUUCUCAAAUAUGAAGCAGAGCUGCAUAUCUUUGUAGUAAUAGAGACAGACGAAUGCAUGUCUCCUAAUGCAUAUCCGUAUAACUUCUCUACCUUUAUAACUAUGUUGUAGAGACUUUGUUUCCUUAGACAAAUAGACCUGCAUCUACAUUGAUCUUUGCCUAGCUCAUAAGAGGAAUAGGAUCUAAUUGCUCCUAAAAAAUUUAGACCAUUAUCAACAUUUUUAUUUGUAACAAUGAAGGAAACUUAACUCUGUUCACAAAAAUAGAUGCUUAAAUAUUUUUGCUCACUACAGAUUCCCAUAGCUCAUCAAAUUGUAACCCGUCCAUUGUGUGUCUAAACAAAUAUAAUCUUGCUAAUCAACUCUAACCAUUUGCAUAUACCUUAUAAAAAGUCAUAUAGAUAGUUUUGCAAACCACCAAGCACUAGUGGAAAAUUGAGCAUUAGUCCCGGUUGGAGAGACGCGUCUCAAAAAUCCAACUGGGACUAAUCUGUUAAGACUAAAAGCCCCCCUCUUUAGUCCCGGGUAUUUGACCCAAGACUAAAGACCUCCUUUAGUCUCGGUUGAAAAAUGGGCCACCCCCGCCCGCCCGCGCCGCUCGUGCCCUCCACCUGGAAGAAAGGGAGAGGAGGAGGAGAGAAGAUAAGGAAGAAGAGAAAGAUGGCCUGCGCGAGAUAAGGGAGGGGAGAGGAGGAGAGAACAUAAGGUGGAGAGAGAGGGGGGGACUAAAUUAAAGGCCCCGGUUGGUGAGGCGAGAUGUUUAGUCCCGGUUGGAAUUACCAACCGGAACUAAAGGGGACUAAAUUAAAGGUCCCGGUUGGUGAGGCGAGACGUUUAGUCCCGGUUGAAAACACCAACCGGGACUAAAUCCCGGUUGGUAUUUUUCAACCGAGACUAAACGCUCCACCGGAUUCCCUUGUCCCACUAGCCGUUACAACCGGUACUGAAGGGGGCUCUUUAGUCCCACUAGCUCGUCGGAGAUGGUCAUCGGUGGUGGGAAUUUGAACAAUCGGGACUAAAAACAGCAUCUAAGGUCUCUUUUCUACUAGUGAAGAUACGGGUCCAAAGUGGUGAGUGGUAAGUUGUGCCCAAGAGAAAAUAAUUCCCACUUGGAUGAAUGCAUGUACCUGGCUGUCUCCAGGGACAAUACAUAGGCUGUUGGUAAUUUUAAAAACAAGUGUACAAAAAUAUAUUCUAGUUAAAAGCAGUGUCUAGUCAUGCUUUAGACCGAAAUACAACAAUGACUUGACAUGAUAUAAUUAUGAUAUCUCAAGUUGGAUUAGCAAUUUGGACUACCAUAUAACAUAAGAGGUACACAAACAGCUGAAGUAGUACGAGAUUCGAUACAAAUGAGAUUUGCAAACAAUGUGGUUAGAUUCUCAUUACAAAGGGUGAUGUAUUACCAGAUCACUUCUCGAUUGUUAGUUAACAAGUUGUUAUUCCGAUCCCUAUCAAGGGAUUGAAUGCAUUUCUGUUCAGUUAUUUUCACUAUCUGUUUUCAUGCUAUUACUGGCAUACUAUGUAUUUACAUAAAUUGUAAGGUGAUAUAUCUACUUUCUCAGUCUUUAUGUGAUUUAUUUGGGAGCAUCUCAUCUUUGAAAAUUUGCCUCACUUUUCGGGCUCGUUCAAAAGCGAAGUUGUAGUUCAUAUGUUAGAGUUAUGUUCUAUAUAUUCUCAUUCAGAGAAAAUCUGUAUUUGUCAGAUUGCAACAUGUAAAGUACAGUAAACUUUGUUUGAAGAAGAAUUUACGUAUCAAGUUCAAAACUCAUGAGAACUAGUCACCAAGAUCUCUAUAUCUACGCAAUUCUCUAAUCAGGAAAUGGUUCCUCAAAUACAUGGAUAGUUCAUAUAUGAAUUAUGAAAUAAUUCAAAGUUCAUCUCUCAAAGCUUAAUCUAUUAGUUCUUUGUUGCACUUCCUAUUGGAUUGAACUCAGUUCAACUCAUAUGUUCGAAAUAUACUUCAAAUAAGAUUUAAGGGGACAAUAGACUCUUGUUUCCAUUUCAGAGGUUAUAUGUUUCUUAUGUGUGCAACUAUUGUGCUAUAUUCAGUUUGCAAUGGUUUCCUUAAUUAUUUUUAUCACGCUCACAUAUGUUAUAGGUGGAGCUUGUUCUAGCAAUUAGUUUAAUUUAUUUUGAAAUGAUUUUCAGUUAAGUUACUAUUAGUGUAGCAAUACCCAAAGUAGAGGAGUGCAAUAUCUGAUUCUUCGCUAUAAAAACAAAAUAACAAUAUUCUUUUGUAGUUUACCUGUCGAUCUGCCAUUCUGCCCUGACACUUAGUUUCACCUUCUUGCAAAUUCGUUUCGCACUUAUUCUCCUCAAGUUGUUCCAUGUCAUGGUAAUAUGUGGAUACUUUUCAUGAACUUUUUCAUUGUUUUACUGGUCUUCUUCUUAAUUUUAGGACGCUUUAAAGAAAUGUUUCCAAAAUAUUGCAAAAAUAGGAAUUAAUUUGCGGUGAUUCACUAUGCAUUUUUUUCUUUCAAGCUUUGUUACAAUGAUUGUUAAGUACCAAUAGGUACUUCCAGUUACUUUUUUCUUUAGACUUUUUAUAAAUCUUGAUUUGAGGAAUGUAAUUAAAAAAUAAAUUAAAUUAGUAUUGGUCCCACUAUUUUUGUACUUAGUCUCACCUAUUUGGUACUUCUUGGCGCUUUUCUUUCGGUACCUCCUAGUAUUUCCUAUUUUUCCACCGCGCAAUUUCUCAGGAUGGACGGCUCUCAAUUUUUCAAAUCAUAGUAAAACUCCUCUUUUCUUUUUGGUAUAGAGCGAACUAUUAUCCUUACGUCAACACAAAUCAUAUCAUGAAGCUCUUGAGCAUACUUUUAGCAUCUUCUCUGGUAGCUGUUGAAUGAUCCAAACAAUAUUUAGCUAGAUAGGUGGUUAGGUACCUAGUAUAUGAUUGUAACACCGGCCAUGAGGGGGGGAAAAUAUUGCAUGAGCUGAGCUCAUCAUCAAUCUACCUCCUAGGGCAUCAAUAAUUUCUCUCCUAAAAAACAAUUCCGGCUCGAUAAUUUCGCCUCACGCAUGGCUCCGUAAUCAAGACUUCCGAAAAUGUUGUUGCUCGAUUUACGUUCAAAAUACUAUAACUUUAUUUUAUUUUACAGACAUUUUACAGUCUAAAUUAAUGUAGCAGUUGUGCUGGACUGCUGGGCCUCGAACAAUCGGACGUGCUGGUCGCACUCGCCAGAUCAGAGAGAGUGCACGCUGUCCUCCAUGGACCAUGGUGAAGCAUGCAUUUUCUCUGCGGAGCACAUUUGGUGCCUUUUGUUUUGUAGGCUUUUUCUUGGAAGGUCACCAUGGUCUGUCCCCUUCAAUCUGCCGAGAUUGCCCCUUUCCAUUGGUGGAAUUUUAGGCCAAAAGUGGCACGGGAAAUCGAGAGCCUUGGUACUUGGUGCUACAUUGGUACUUGGUGCUCGGUAGGCGCGCACCAUUAUGCAGAACGGUCUUGAUUAGCCUUGUUUAGCGGUCUUUUUCCAACUUUGGCACUAUGUAAAAAGAAGAUUCCCCAUCACAUCAAACUUACGGUACAUGCAUAGAGUACUAAAUGUAGAUGAAAUUAAAAACUAAUUGCACAAUUUUGUUGUACUUUGCGAGAUGAAUCUUUUAAGCCUAAUUAGUCAAUGUUUGGACAAUAAUUCACAAAUACAAACGAAAUGUUACAGUUGCGCAUUUAUAGCAAAAUGUAAACUUUACCACUCUCAAUUUGGGAACUAAACAAGACCUUAUUUAGAAUAACCCACCUGAUUAUUUAAAGAAGGUGUACUUCUUGCAGGACCUGAAGAUACUUUGAUUCUUAAACAAACACAACAAGUUUUUUAAAAAGAGCCGUCUUACCCAAGAAACAAGUUUAUGACGCAGGGUUCUUUUCCAAACACAUUGAUUUCAUUAAAAAAACCGGUAGGUUUCCAUAGAACUUCCACUAGAAAUACUGGGUGGUGUUUGAUUUCUUUAGUCCAUGUGCUAAAGUUUAAUCCAGUCCAUACCCUAUUUGGGUUCAUGGACUAAAAUCCAUUAAUGCAGUUGAACAAAGACCCUUUUACCCCUAAUACCUACUGCCUGGUACCCUGUCCUGGCACCAACUUCUAGUUCUGGGCGCCUGCUACACACACAUACAUAGUCAUUGUCUUCCAAUCCAAGCCGCUAUCAAAAUCAAAUCCAAUCCAAUCCAAGCCGUGGAAAAAGAAACCCCUCCCCUCCCCUACCCCGCCCACAUGGCGCUCGAGGCACAGGCCUCCCGUCGCCACUCCCCGCCGCGCGCGCCGGAUGCAGUGACGGAUCCUCCAGCGCGCGAGGCGGCGGUAGGGGACUAGUGGCCGGACCCAGAUGAUCCCCCCACUGGCACCGCCACCGCCCCACCAGGCUCCCCUCCUGCGGACCCCUCCACGGCCGUCUUCGUCGCGUUGCGGAACCACGCCUCGACCUCCAAGUACUUGCCGCCGCGCGCCACGUCCUGCACUGCCAACCCGGACCCCGCCCGCGUCGUGGGGUGGUACUCAUGGAGUGGCGGCCGCACCGCGGGAGGGAGGGAGGCAGCGGGGGGGGGGGGGGGGGGGGCGGAGGGAGGCCGGCGGCGAUAGCAGAGGGGGCCAAGUGGGAGGGCGGCGGGAGGGAGGCCAGCGGCGACGACGGCGGGCGGGACGGGGGUCGGAGGGAGGCCGCCGGCCCAGCCCCGCCGCUGUCGUCGCUAGCGGGCGGGAGGCGAUGGGAGGGAGGCCAGCGGAGGGAGCCAAGCGGGAGGAAGGGCAAUAAAUGAGGGGCAAGGGUGUCCCAAGACUCUUUAGUCUACCUUAGUCCACCUCAUAUGGACUAGAGGACUAAACACUUUAGUCCACAUUUUAGUCCACCUGUUUGGCACUUUAGGGACUAAAAGUGCCAAAAAUGAGUGGACUAAAGUACUGGGUUACCAGACCUAAUGUGUGUUAACAAAAAAGUUUGCAUCACGCGUAUAUGAAACUUAUACAAACUAGAUUGAAUUGAAUUAAUUUGUAUCCUAUUGAAGAGCCAUGCGUGAGGCGAUGUUAUUUUAACCUCGAUUUGAGUAUCUAUUUUUUCUCGCUUGCGAUACGUGAUUGAUAGGUCAACAUGUAUGGUAUGUAAAUUAAUAGCAAGACACUUAUGGUAGUGAGGCGAUCAAGUUCAAGUUCUUACAGAAAAGAAAGAUGCAUGCCCUCCUAACUCUUAAAUAUUUUGCAGGGUAGGAAAUUAUCCUCCUUACUUUUUGCAAUAUCAUGUGCCUUUCGUACCAGGAAUGAUGCCUACGAUUGAAACCAUAACUUUUUUCUAAAGUAGUCAUGAUUUGGCUACAAGUUUAUAUUUCUGCAAUAAAACUUGUAUGUAGGGGCUGUUUGGAUACGAGGUGCUAAACUUUAACAGUGUCACAUCGGAUGUUCGGAUGCUAAUUAGAAGGACUAAACAUGAGCUAAUUAUAAAACUAAUUGCAGAACCUUGUGCUAAUUCGCGAGACGAAUCUAUUAAGCCUAAUUAAUCCAUCAUUAGCAAAUGGUUACUGUAGCACCACAUUAUCAAAUCAUGGACUAAUUAGGCUUAAUAGAUUCGUCUCGCGAAUUAUACUCCAUCUGUGCAAUUAGUUUUGUAAUUAGCUUAUGUUUACUACUCCUAAUUAGCAUCCAAACAUCCGAUGUGACAGGUGUUAAACUUUAAUAGGGUGUUCCCAAACACCCCUGUAAUAAGAGGCUUUAUAUACGUACACUCCCCUUUGACUGGACCUUAAAUGUUCACUUUUAACCCUGACUGAUAGCCGCUCAGGUCUUCAACAUAUAUUCUUUUUUUGAAGGUUUAAGAUUUCUGGAUAAAAUUAGGGACCGGCGUGCAAAACCUAAAGGGAAUGGAUUAGCAAAGAUCCUCUACCGAAAGCUAGGGAUCAGUGAACAGUGCAAGGUCAAAACUCGAAAGACAAGAGAAGAAUUUGCCCAGCACCUCCAGAUCGCUCUCUCACUGCCCCCUUUCGCACCCUUUCUGCCCAUAUAUGUAUAUACCCCGCACGGCACGGGAUGCCGCGACCGAUCGGUGUCCCCGCGAGCCGCGCACACGCAAGCACGCGCCCGCACUGUUCGCUCGCUCGCUCGCUCCCCCACCUGCCCCGCCGCUCUCUACAGUGCUGCUGAGGUGGGCACUGCUGCCGACUCGUCUUCUUCCGAUCGUAUGUGCCGCCUCAUCCCCUUCUGCUUCGCUCUGCGCUUAAAUUUCUGUAGGCGUCGCGCCAUGGUAAGUUCUUGCGCUCUUGCCGCGGGAGUGCAAGAAUCGGUGGCCUUCCUGGACAUCCGGCGGGGCUUAUUGCCUGGAUGCCAUUUCUUGGAUAGUUAUUUAGCUUCUUGCAGGAUUUUCGCCCGGAAUUGUUGCCGCCGUCGUGACGGUUUCUUGGUUGGGAACAGGUUUCUUUUCCGGGGGCAUGGACUGGGCGGCGGCUUCCGGGGCGCCAUCCUGGGGCGCGGCGGCGGCGUCGGACCCCGGCCCGACCAUGCUGUCCUUCGCGGGGCCGUCGUCCUCCGCCGCCGCCGCAGCCGCCGAGGCGCGGCUUCAGGAUUUCGCCGCGGGGCUGGCCCAGCGAGCCCGGCCGGUGGGGGCGGCCGGAGGUGGGAGGAGGUCCCGCUCGGCGGGCGGUGGCGGCGGCGCGGAGGCCUGCUCCGUCGACGGGUGCCGGUCCGACCUCAGCCGGUGCCGGGAGUACCACCGGCGGCACAGAGUCUGCGAGGCGCACUCCAAGACGCCGGUGGUGGUCGUCGGCGGCCAGGAGCAGCGCUUCUGCCAGCAAUGCAGCCGGUACGGCUACCAUCUCAUCCGAUCCUUGUACAAAGCGGCGUACUCGUCGAAUUAAUCAACAAUUCCUGUGCUGAUGAGGUCAUUAGUUAAUAAUUGAGUGCGUAUUGGUCCCCAUCUGGCUUGCUAAUUGAGGAAUUCAGGGUAGGGAUUUGGUGCAUACGUUGGGGCAAAUUUAGGGGCAAAGUUUUCAGGUCUAGUUUGGUCCCAAGCUGGCAAGCUAAACAAUUAGGUUGGUAAUUUGGUGGCGUCUGGUGUUUAGGAUCUGAUGGCGUGCUGAUAGUUUAAUCUCACGGAUGCUAUGCGUUGCUGAUUAAACUAUUGGGUUGGUAAUUUGUGGUUGUUUAGGGUCUUGUAACCCGAUUAAUUUAGUCCUGUUGGUACUAUUUAAAGAAAGCUGUUGGUGUGGACAACUGACUUGUUUGAGUAGGGUUUGAUUUUUCUAUGGGAUACUCAGCAUCAUGCAGAAUCUUUCUCAUGAUUGCUGAAGUUUUGGGCUUUCUUCAGCGGGCAUGCUCAAUCUGAGCUCAUGACUGCUCUGCGAUGCAACUUUUUGCAAACCAUUGCUGUUUCUGCGCAACCAAAUAUGAAGACAUUUCACUAGAUAUAAGAUCUGGUCAAGUACAUACCUUAAUGCUUAUUGUUGCCCAUUGUGAUAAAAGGAAGGCCUCAAACUAGGAUUGAGGUUAUUUCAUGGGUUAUUCCUUGCAGCAAGCGUAUCUGAAACUGAAAUAUCAGGUUAUAGCUUGGUUGGUUGAUUUAAUUUCUCCCCUGGUUUUGGAGGCAUACUUUCUUCUCCCUGUUUCCCUGUUACAUACUAGACUACUUCAUAGUUAGCUGACAUAAGUAGCAACGGAAAGUUUAAGCGAACGUGGGUGGAAUUAUGUGUUUUCUCAUGAUAUUUGGACCUUUAUUUCCUUUUCAAGUAUGCAAGUAUUUUUUUAGAUAUACUGCGAGAAGUUUGCUGAAAGUGUACAAAAUAGAAGUAUAAAUGCAGUAUGAAUUGACAAUGUCUUAAGAGACUUAGUUGGAGUAGACAUUAGCCCUUUGACUGCACCAGGAUUGUCAGCUAAACUAAAAAGAUCCUGAUAACAUGCACUUCCUGAUUUUUACUUGGAUCUUAGAGCCAAGUCUUGUGAAUGUUUGUAAGCUGACUAUCAUUCUAUCAUCUGAAGACUGCAUAUUUCCUAAUCUGUAGAUUAAUCAAGAAUAUAGAAUGUCAAGUGCAAUUGUGAGAUCUUGCAUUUUUUUUUUUCUGAAGACGCAGGAGAAAGAGACCUUGCAUUUGGAGCUUUCAGUUCUAAAGCUGCACCAGUGCUUAUCUUUUUAAGAUGCAUCUUGAUGGAAGAGCUAGUGAAUUUAGGUUCCAUCAAUGUUUGGCUCCACAUAUUGAAGUUGUGUAUUAGUUUAUUUUUUGUGUCUUCAAAGGUUAAAACUAUCAGUGCCAUUUAUUCAAUGUAGAUGAAAGAUAACAACUGUAAGGGGCAAGUCAGAUGGAUUCUUUAGAAUUAACACCUUAGCAGAAACUUGGUAUUCCAAAUUCGAAUCCAGUUCCCAUGUUGGUCGAGGUUUCUUUAUCUUGUGGAUUCUUUUCACCUCAGAUAUGUGUAAUCUGCCUAAGUGGCCUGUACAUCCACCAUAUUGAACCUAGGUAGCAUAAAUCUCUUAUGUUCAUUUAACAAUAUGAUCUCAGCAUUAUGUCAAUCUCCGAAGUCUGAAUUGUAUCAGAAUUUAGAACUGAAUGGGUGGUAUGUUCCUGAAGAUGAGAAGCUCGAAAAAAGUAUUGUAAAUUAAGUAAUUUAUUUUGGUUAUCUAGGUAGCCGUUGAACCAUGAUUUUUUAUGUUGUUCCCAAGUACAUGUUAUCGACCUUUUGUGGUCUGAUGCAGAACUUGGCCAUUGAUUUAUAGCAAACAAAGACCCCCCCGCGCCCCCCCCCCCACCCCCACCCCCACCACCACGACCACCACCACCACAAAAAAGUUUGUACACUCUUUUGAAAUUCGUUUGAACAAUAUACAUCAUAUUACCCACAAAUAGUUUAUCAAAUAUUUGGAGUUUUACCACAUGCAUGUUUAAAAAAAACUUUACGUGAAAAUUUUAUUAUCUUUUGGGGGUUGAGAGGAAGGGGGAGCUUAUAUAAGAUAUUUGAGCAUUCAUCUCAUGGUCAUAUUCACAAUAAAACUGUCAUCAUCGGCUUAUGCUAACCAUGAAAGUUGCAUCACGUGGGCAAAGGUUAUACCAAAUUACCAAUAAAUCUCAACCAUUUCCACCCUUUUACCUUUUACUGGACAUGUUUUCAAUACUCUUUCUAACAUUUGCCAAUUUUUCUUUGCACAUAUUGGUAUCUUUAUAUUGCCCUACUAUAAGGUUCUCUAAAUACCUUUGUUCAUUUUUCUUCUAGACUGUUUGAGUUAAAAAUUUCUGCGCAUCUUACUAUAGAGUGCACAUAUUAGAGUGUUUGAUUUUAAAAGCUAAAUGCCUUUGUAGGAUGAUCUAAACAUAUUGCCCUAUUGUUCCACAUUUUACAAGGUAGAGAGGAACCACUAGCCUAGUUAGCAUCUGAAUUCCCUGGAGCUAGUGUACGGGGAAAAAAAGAUAUUGAGUGAUAGUCCCACGAUGGUAUGGAACAUGAAGAUGACUAGUGGAGCUGAGUGGGAGCAGAACAAAAUAAUUUAAGAUACACAUUGAAUAUGAAAUGUCAUAGACAGGUGCCACCAAAAUAAAUAAGACUACAAUUUGGCGAUAGCAUGUGGGAUACCCAAGAGGCUCACCAUUAGUUGCAUGAAUGUGAACAUUGAGCUCCAUGGAAGCCUUAAUAAUGUGUCAAUUCAUGAGAAGCAUCAUCAAGAAGAUCGUGGAUAUACUUCUUGGGAGUUGCGACAAUUAAAAGCCUUCAGGUGUAAAGGAAUCUUCGGCCCCAAUGAAGUUAUGAAAAUAUCACAUAUCCAACAUAAGAAACAAAUCAUAUGACGUGCCUUCACACAGUGAAUAUACUGAGAAACACAUAUGUUUUGAUAUAUCAUGUUUAUGUCAUAAUACCAAAACUCUGAUGUUUUACCUUAUAAAUUUGAGCUAGAUAUCAAUACUACCAGUCAGGAGCACAAAAGCAUCGUAUUAUCCAUCUUGUGCAAUGCGCCAUGUUUUCUUACAAAUGCACCGUUUCAUGAUAAAAGGACGAUCUAAUGAUGAAAGUAUAAUUUUGACAAAAGCCUUUGUUGUUGACUCGCAUUCUGCAAGACUUUUUUGUUUCUUGCUGUCCUAAUACUCCACUCAGCCAACAGCCCAACACAAUAAUUACUAUAUAGAAUUGAACUCAGCCAUUUAGCCUAUAUUAAAUAACUGUGUUCAUCCUUUGUUAGUCUUUGGAAUUGGCUACGGAAAGUAUUUGCUUGUUAAAUCCUAACAAAGCAGUGGCAUGAAUAGGAAACUUAGUCAAUGAACAUAACUAGUCAGCAAUAAAAUUUUCCUAUGUUCAUGGGAAUUUAAUUUUGUGUUUGUUCUUGAGUUCAACGUAAAUGUUUCUGUAAAAUCCGAUAUUGCUGCAUGAAGUGAGUUCUGUCUGGAGUUAAUAUCGUGGGACCAGUUCAAAGCAGCUGUCCUGAAGGAGGUUGUUGGUUCUGUACUUGCAGGUUUCACAUGCUGUCUGAGUUUGACGAGGGGAAAAAAAGUUGCCGGAAGCGUUUGGAUGGCCAUAAUAGGCGUCGAAGAAAGCCACAGCAUGAUCUGACAAAUCUUGGGGGUUUCAUUCCGUACCAUCAAGGUCUGUACAUUUCUGCUUACAUAAGUUGGGCAUCUUGGUAAUUUAAUAAUACUACUCGUAGGAGUUAGUUAAUCCAGUUUAGGUACCUCAUUAAUACUACUAUAUAUAUAGUCUUUAUUAAAUGAUGGAUCUAUUUAAAAUGAUAGCACAGAACUAUAUCUAUUAGCGUGUCUAAUCACAUUUUUAAUCUAGCAGAGCUCAUCUUCAUCAUUUUCAUUGAACUGAUUGCCAACUUGAACAUAUUUCUUCUGGAACUAUUUUUUUAGCAAGCUUUACCCAAUUUCCAAUAGGGUAGCAGAAAAGUAGAUGAAUGAUGUUUGUUUUUUUACUUGCAGUUAAUCAAUUUGAAAUUUAUCCACAAACAACUCCAACAGUCCGCGAGAAUUCUGACACUAUGCACUUGGUCCAUCGUCAGCCACCCUUCUCCAUAUCAUUCUCAAGAACACCAAAGCAGCUCCCUUUCCCACAGGACGGUGGUGGCAUGCUCAGUGCAUCCCACCACGGUCAUUUUUUGGUUGAGGAUAGCAACCACACUGGAAGCAGCGCAUGCAACAACACGCUGGGCCCCAAGUGUGCUCUCUCUCCUCUGUCAUCAUCGCUGCAUCAUCCCUCCCCUGCUGGCCAAGCACAGGUUGCCUCUGCACUCUCUCGCAUUGCUUCCGCGUCACAGCAGGUUGCAACAGCAGCUGUCACUGCUGCGUUUGCAUCUGGUGGCAGCCACCAUGUGUUUGUUCCUGAUGCUGUGUUGGAGGAUCCUUCACAGGCACUGCCAUUUCCUUGGCAGUAGUAGACAAAAUGUGUUGUGUUUUGUGUUGCUGCCGAGUUCUCAAUUUCUUGCAAUGGUGUUGACUGGGAUGUGUUGUGUUUUGUGUUGCUGCCGAGUUCUCAAUUUCUUGCAAUGGUGUUAACUGGGACUUGGGGGGGUGUUUGUGCACCUGGAGAUUCAGUUGUAGUCAGGAGAUGUAUACAAGUGAUCCUGCAGGAGAUGGAGGUGGUGGCUGUUGUGCAGAUUGUUUAGUUGAUUGAUUUAAAUGUGUCCUGUUAAUAAUUCUGUGCAUUUUUGUGAUAUUUAUUUUUGCAAAAAUAUAUGCAUGUAUGCGCUACUGGAAUUCUGGAAUGCCUUCAGGGACACAAAAGAUCUGAUGGGCAGAUGGCUCAGUUUUACAUGGGUCCGCUUUGCCUAGUUCAAUACUUCAAUCCAAUGCUAUUAUUGAUAAUGGGCCAAUUCGGGCUGGGCUGAUUUUGCUGUGGUCCAUUUGUCUGUCUGUGUGUGUGUAUUGGUAAUUUUGUUUGCAGCACAUGGAGGACCCUGUGCCAUUCAAUACGGAGUUACGGACCCAUGGGCUGAAGAAUGUUAUAAAUCGCAUAUGCAUGUUACUGGAAGUCAUCACGUGGCACUUCUCCUGGAAUAUUUUUUUUCUACUGUUAGAAAACUUUUUUUUUCUCUCUUCGUAGAACUUUUUCUUUCUACUGUUGGAACAUUUUCCAUCGAAGUGGUGAGUGGAAAAUGUGUCAGCAGUAGAAUCAAAAUUGUUCCAUCCGAAGGGGUAAGGUAGAAAAUGUUUCAAGAGUAGAGAAAGUUGUUCUAACAGUGGAAACGAUGUGUGCUAUAUGAUGGCUUUCAGUAGCAUAUGCAAUUUAUAGCGGCGCUGCUAGCGCUCGGACGUCCGAUGAGAAAUAUUAGCGCUCGGACGUCCGAUGAGAAAUAUUUCAUCGGAUGUUCCGAUGAAACAUUAAAAAUUAUCUAGUGCCAUAUUAGCGGUCACUGUUUGCAACAUAAAAAAUAAUGUGUAAAAAUGACUACGUUGUCUGACUUUGAGAUAAAAAAUUACCGCCGCAAAUGAAUACUAUAUUUCAUGCAACAUUCACUAUGAAAUAUGCGAAAAUAAUAGUUGCAAUAUCUAUGCUUAACUAUUGCAACGUAUGUCAGGCGCGUCUGAUUUUUUAAGAUUUCGGACGUAUGUUUUGUAGCAUUACCGAAUUUAUAAACACCCCCUCCCCCCAAGAGUGACUUUGAUUUCACAAUGUCAAGGUGAGACAACAUACUAUCUCUAUCUUUUAAUAAUACUCGCCAAUUCUGAAUUUUGUAUUCAAACUUUGAUCAAUGUUACAUAUCUUAAAAUGUUAUUUAUUCAGGUAACGUAAAAAAACCGUCGUUAGAUUUUUCUAUCCAAAGUACUACUAGAAUGUUUUAGACAUGUAAUUUUGUUUAGAUAUGUGUGGAUGAAAUUUGAUGCUAAAGUUUAAAUUGCAAAGUAAAAAAAAAUAAGGGAAGUACAAAUAAGCGGAGGAAGAACUAUGGUGGCUAUUCAGGCCACCUUGUGGUGCUGACGAGCAAUAAAUUACAAGAGCUAUUGUGGCUAUUCAGGCCAUCUUGCUAGCAUAAGUUUGUAUGAUCCAAACGGCCCUUCACAUGCGCAAAGCGUCCAACAUUUACUACAGGCGAAAAGCACACGGGACAGUGUAGCUCUGUAUGACCGUUGCGUGGAAUGCCGAUUGAUGCAAAAGGGCGCAAGGCACGCCAACUACGAGUCUGGCUUGAUCUCCUGGGGGAUCAGGAUUCAGUGCAUCCAGGAUGCUUUGGAUCGAGAGAUUGACGGCUCAGAUCAAGCCUUGUCCUAAAAUACCAUUCGUUUUGUUUUUUCCAGAUAUAUUACUUGUACUAUGUAUUUAACAUAAUAUAUAUUUAGCUAUUAAAAAUCCAAAACGAAUAGUAAUUUAGCAUGAAGAGAGUACGUAAGUUCAUAUCUGAUCGUAAGUUCAUAUCUGUUCAAACAAACUACGCAUCUUUUGACGUUAGUCGGUCAGUCUCACUGUUCAAACAAACUACGCAUCUUUUGACGUUAGUCGGUCAGUCUCACUGUUCAAACAAACUACGCAUCUUUUGGUGUCAGUCGGUCAGUCUCACUGUUCAAACGGAGUAUAAACAUGCAAAUGGAAGUGAGACUACCAACCAUGGGAAUUAAACGAAGUGACCUUAUUCAUCAUAGAAGCAACGUGCUGAAUUCGUAGCAGAGUAUGUGCAGUCAGCAUCCGCAGCAACUAUCGGAGAUCGCUAGGGUAUGGGCACGCCAACAACUCUUCAUUCAUCUCCAUUCCAAGUCCAUCCAAAGAGUUGUUCCAUAGCUGAAGAAGAUUAGACCAAUAAUGACCCUGUUUGUUUCCGCAAUUCCGCUUAUAAGCAGCUUAUCGAUAAAAAUAAGUGUGAAUCCCACCAAACGUCUUGCUUAUUUUCAUUUAUUCUCGCUUACGUGGUAAGCCGCUUCAGAGAUUUCAACUACAAGAAUCAAAAAACAAGAAGCAAAAAAAUCUUCACUUAGAUUAUAAUCCAAAUAUGACUGAGAGAAGCAGAAAUAAACCUGGCAAAUGUAGUAUGAGGCGGGGAAAAAAGAGAGCUAUGAAUUUCUGAAGGGCAGGGUGAUCCUCGCUCUGUGGUUGCUAAGGCUUAUCGGCUAGGGUGUGUGGCGUUUGUCAGGUGCCUUAUUAUGGAUGUGCAAUUUAUCACUAAAAUUUAUAGUUUUCAAAUAAUGAUGUGAAAUUAGCAUAUUGGUGUAGGCGUGUAGCUAUAGAAGAUUAUGUGGAUGUUCACCAUGGGCAAAUUUGGGCUCGGCUUAUUCUCAGAUUUAGAAAAUAUUUUGAUUGUAACAAAAAAUGGAAAACUCACAGGAUAGAAGAGAGAGGAAAAAAAGAAUUCAUUAACAAGGACAAUGAAAGAUAGAAACGGAGAUGUCUUUUUUUUUUGAAACAAAAAUGAAGAUGAGAGAACCGGGGAGAGAAAAAACAACAACGUGCUCUAUUGGGCUGCACCCCUAUGAUUGACGGUACGGGCCUUAUGGGCUGUCACUUGGGUGACACAUCACAGUCUCAUGAGCGACUCAUAAUCUAAAAAAAAUUAGCGACUCAUGACUCAUGUGAAAAAUAUUACCUUCUCCAUCUUCUAAUAUGAAUUUAUUUUUCAAGCUUUGGCCACUAAUACAUAUUUUUAAACCUAUUCAAGAUUUUCUAUUUAAAGUUUGACCAAUAAUAUUGUUUAAAAAAUUAUUCAGUUAUUAAGUAAUAAUUUGGAAAUAUUACUGUUAGAUUUUUUUCCUUUCAAAAUUUAUUAGAAUGUCAUACUUACAAUUGUUUGGAUAUGUAUUUUAAAAAGAUUCGAUAACCAAAGUUUGAACUGUAAAGUCAUCAGAACAUACAAGUAUUUAAAAACAGCAGGAGUAGAAAAUAGGCGAACGAUCUUAUCACAACUACUCGGGCAAACUCCAUUUCUGAAGGAGCUCUCAAGUAGUGAACAUGUAAAUCUUUGCUGCUGAGUGCUGACGAGCAAUGAACUAGGAAAAAAGAACUAUGCUGGUUAGUGGUUACUGUAAUCUCUAGGUACUCCAACACUUGGACCCCACUGGCACUGGUAAAUUGUUUGUUAGCACAAGUUUCUACGAUGAAGACGAGCCCUUAACAUGUGCGCAAAUUGCAAACGUCCAAUCAUUACAACAGGUGAAAAUAAGAAACAUGGAAAAUGAAGAGAGCAGUGCGUGGCUCCAUAUAUGCCUAUUGUGUGGAAUGCACGCCAACAUUUCACCCUUAAAAUGCGAGAUUUACACUGUGAAGAAACUGGCGCGACCCUGAAGUUGUUAACUCAGAACUUGGGGCGUUUUAAUUGGACCCUUGGAUCGACCCAGCGACGUCAGACCACAAAAAGUUUCAGAACAGCCCAGCAAGGAAACUGCAAAUGGAAGGGUGAGACGGCCCCAUGGAAAAUGAUUGAACUUUAUCACAACAGUAGCGUUCUAGAUUAUCGUCGCAGAGCAUGUGUAGCACGGCAACAACUAUAGGGUAGAAUAUGGACAUGCCAACAACUCUUCAUCUCCAACCCAUGUGCAUCUGAAGAGUUUGUUCCGUAGUUCUUUCCACCUAAAUUGUGCAUUUUUCUUGGGUGGACUAGUCGGUGGUUUCGGCACAUUAGGUCAGCAUUGGUACCUUUUUUACAUUUAUUUUCUCUACUGUUUCUGAAAAUGAAUAACUCCAUGGCUGCAAACUUUGGGGAUGCGUAUACAUGCAGGCCUUAGUGUGCACACAACACUGCAAUCCAAUGGCUUCAAUGAUAUUCACUAGAGUUUGACUUCUCAUGAAAAUUGAAACAGGUAAUGCUGCCACAAAGUGGUAUUUCAGGAUGAUUUACAGGAAUCAAGAACAUGAUUAAAUGGCCAAAGUUUAGGUGGGACGUCAACUUCUGUAGAAUGUCAUCUAAAAAUAAGAUUAAAGUACUUGCUCACUCAACCACAAAAAGGGGCUCAAAUUAAAUACUCCGGGCUGAUCUUAUAGAUUCAGACCAAUGAAAACGUUGCUGAACUACUGGCCACCAAGUAGCUGGCCAGGAACAGGUACCGAAACAAUUUUCAGACGAGAACAGAAAGAGCAGAAAGAUUGAAGUUCUGAAACAAAAAGGUGGCAAAUCGAUCCUCAGUUAGCAUCUCAAGCAAAUCGAAGCUCAGUUAGGCACUGCUAACACAACUCAUGCUAACAAGAGACAUGGAAGAUCAUGAUCAACAUGCAGUACUGCACAGAAGAGAUACAUUUGACAGAACAGUAGUAAGCCUUUGACGGCUUAACCUGACAAAUGCCCAAAGAACAUUGAACCCCCCCAUACUAGUAUACCAUGCUAGCCAACAACGGAGAUGAACAUGCCUCUACCACUGUACCUAAUGAAUAAUCUGGCCGGUCAGAGAGGAGGCCGCCGCCGCUGCGGUCGACUGAAGACUAGCCGAGGUACACGUGCACGCCGACGGCGAGGAGCAGGAUGGCGAUGAGGGUGAAGUAGAUGAUGGCGUGGAUGAGAAUGGAGAGGCCGCUGGUCUGGAAGUUGCCGAACUCGAUGAUCCGGCCCUUGCCCGGGAUCUGGAACAGCAGCCCCGGCGAGAGGAGGAUGAACAGCACCAGUCCGAUGAACACCGGCGCCCAGUCCGCCAUGAUCUCAGAGCAGCUGCGGCGACGGCGACGACGAUGACCUCCUCACGGCUACAGGCUACCCCAGCCUCCACUGUGUGUGCUCUCAGCUAGCUCCUGCUCCUUCUGUUUGGUUUGGGAUGGUAUGGCGUAGGACCAGUGGGGGAGUGGUAGGAGGAGCGUGGAGAGGGUAAUAUAUAGUGGCCUUUUGGCCAGGGAAUAACUAAAUUGGAGGGCAAAAAGGAUGGUGGGUGCAUGUGUUGGGAGGGAGGGUGAUCCUCUGUGGCUAUAGGGAGGAUUGGUCAUGGUUUGGGUUUCUUACUCAGUCUUUCGGCGAUUCACACAUUUUGUGGUUUGUUACCAUCACAGAAUGAAGUCGGUUGUGAGAAAAGGGACAUGUGAAACUUGACACAUUGACGUAGCUGUAAAUUAUGUGUGACAGUAAGGGCUCGUUUGGCACGGUUGUGGAUGUAGCUGAAACGGCUUCGGCUGUGGCUCCUCUGGUGGAGCAGCUUCUCUGGUAAGGGCUGUGGCUUGUUUGGCAGGGUUGAUCAGUUUUUUC